This 406-nucleotide ribosomal RNA is filed under the name uncultured bacterium. Its description in RNAcentral is "partial 16S ribosomal RNA". It matches the Rfam family "Bacterial small subunit ribosomal RNA", at positions 30 to 526 of the family's 1533-position model. The record is from RNAcentral.
AUUGAACGCUGGCGGCAGGCUUAACACAUGCAAGUCGAGCGAGCGGCGGCCGGGUGAGUCAUGUCUGGGAAACUGCUUGAUGGCGGGGGAUAACUACUGGAAACGGUACCUAAUACCGCAUACCUUCAGCUGUUCACUGAUGGGAUUCGCUAGUAGGUGGGGUAUGGGCUCACCUAGGCGACGAUCCCUAGCUGGUCUGAGAGGAUGACCAGCCACACUGGAACUGAGACACGGUCCAGACGCCUACGGGAGGCAGCAGUGGGGAAUAUUGCACAAUGGGCGCAAGCCUGAUGCAGCCAUGCCGCGUGUGUGAAGAAGGCCUUCGGAUUGUAAAGCACUUUCAGCGAGGAGGCGUUACUCGCAGAAGAAGCACCGGCUAACUCCGUGCCAGCAGCCGCGGUAAUAC